GCCUGUCUGUCAGUGUCGCCAGAGAUGUAGACCAAUGUUUUCGCGUAGGAGUCUGUGCUGCAUAACAAAUGUGUUUUGUUGAAAUGUCAUGUAAUCAUAUGUGAGUGUUAUUUUCAAAAACUGUAAUUCAGCUUUAUGUGGAAGGAUUUUCACUGCCUGCGAUAAUUGUUGCAUACUUGAUUUUAUAUCAUGACAGCUGAACAAUGAAUUAAGUGCAUUAUUACUGCAGUCAUUGGGUUACUAAAUAAAAAAUAAAAUAUGGCACAGAGUAGCUCCAGUGGCACGUCGUCUAGGCGGCACGGGAGGAGCGAUCACGAUACAGCUUCAUUAACAUCAAGCAGAUAUGCCGACGCCGAAUGGGAAGCCAAGGAGGCAUUACGGCAGAGAGAAUUGGAGGAAGCAAGAGCUCGCGCAACCCAGAUGGAAAAGACGAUGAGAUGGUGGUCUGAUUGUACUGCAAACUGGAGAGAAAAAUGGAGCAAGGUACGUAAUGAACGUAACAAGGCCAGAGAAGAAUCGAAACAGUUGAGGAUACGACUAGAAGCAGCAAUGAAAGAUGCUGGAACCUGCAGGAGGGAGCGUCAAGAACUAGAAACAGAAAAUGAGCGGCUAAGACAAGAGUUAGAACAAGCACACAUGUUACUACUGAAGGGCGCAGGGAAAUCAGGCAGUGCAUGGGCACCAAAUAGUAAUUUGCCAGCCGAAGACCAUGAAGCAGAGGAGUAUGUUCUUCCUCGGCACACUACAGAACUGUGCCAUGCAGGAGUGGUGGGGCGUGAAAAUGCAGUUGAUGGAGAUGCUCAAGAGCCAGCAGCUGUAUCAACAGGUUUGUCAGCAUCUGAUGCAGCCUUGGGUGAUAUGGACCCCACAGCAGCCCUAGGACCACGUGACCCUGCAGCAGAUGGUGGAGAAGAUCUGGAUCGUGAUCAUGACUGCAUGUUGCAGAAGAUGUCUAUGCUACAGCUUAGAUUAGAUGAGGCUUCAAAGACUAUACAGAUUGAGAGAGAAGAAAAAGGAGCACUGCAACGAGCUUUGGACAGGUUACGAGGAGAUCUGGCUGGUGAGACAAGGGUGCAAGACGGUGGUAUAGCAGGACGACUUGCCCUCCUUAGAGCAGAGCUCGAACGCAUGCAGGCAGAAAAUUCUGCUGAGUGGAGAAGAAGUGAAAGCCUGGAGACUGAGAAACUUGCCUUGGAGAGGGAGAACAAAAAGCUACGAGCUGAACUUCGUGACGCAAAUGAGCGACUUGAACGUAUGCAGCGCAAUGUUGCAGCAGGACGUUUGCCUUUGCCUUCAUCAUCAGUAGUGGAAACAGAACUGCGUGAAGAUCUUGCUGACAGAGUUAAGGAGCUGACUGAACUGAAACAGGCACACUCAAAGCUAAAAAAGGUAUUUCAAGAAAAGUCAACAGAACUUGCACAUGCAGCAAGACGGGCAGAACAGUACGAGGCAGAAGUAAAGAGACUGCGUGCUCGUGUUGAGGAAGUGAAAAGGGAACUAACAGCAGCAGAGGAUGAAGUUGAUGCUGCCUCAAACAGCAUACGAAAACUCCAGAGAGCAAAUGAUGAAUUACAGGAACAAGUAGAGACGCUGCAGGUACAACUUGAACAUUUGCACUCCAGAGACAGCCUGUGUCUUGAGGAGACCUCCUGAGAGCAUGCUGUCCCUGCCAGCGAAGCUCUUGGCAGGGUCCUCUAUGGCGACAGCACUGUAGGCACACUCUGAGUGUGUUGCCAGGUUCCAGGUUCCCAGUUCUUCAAGUUCUCAUCGUAAUGGCCAAGAUUUUGCCUUUCGUGGAGAACUGAGUGAUGAUGAAGUUAUAUAUUAAAUGAUUUGUGGGUAUUUGUCAUUGCACUUCCAUUUCUGGUAACUUGUGAAAACAUAUUGCAAUACAACUGUAUAGAAAUGGCAUUUUUUCAAAAUAAGUAAAUAACAGUUGAAUUUAUAGUAACUAGAAAAAUAUAGCUUCAGUGAAGCAUAUAGUAUUUUUCUAUAUAUUUGACUGUAAUUCAUGGUGGAAUUGAAUGACUGCAUUCCAUUGCAUAUUUGUGCUAUUAAAACUGUAAUUAGACAAAAAGUGGUUGACAUAUUGAAUGAUGAAUUAGCAGUUGUGAUCAUUUGUCUGAGCUCACUUCAGCACUUACAAUUUAGAAAAAAAAAAAACCAGCAAAUAUUUCAGGAAAAAGUAGCUGUCUAACAAAGCUCACUUCUCAGAUCUUGGGUGCUCUUUCAUAUCUGAACAUUCAAAUGAAGCAGAACAGAAUGCUAAUCAUCUGUGAAUGAACUGUGGAGUUUUAUAAUAGACACAUAAUGGCAGAGGUGGUUCCCCUUCUUAAGAUCUAGUCGAACUUGUGGGGAUGCUGAUAAUGCUUCAUGGUAUAUUUGGCUGGAACCUCCCAUGACUUAGCUCACAGGUGAGUAGCAGACUGAAUUGACAUGGAAGAUUCUUUUGUCCCAGUCUUGAGCCCAUCAAAUUGUUGGCUCUCCUGUAGCUUGAGGUGCUAGUAUUUGAGUUGCUCCACUUUGUACAAUAGAUGACUUCUGUAAAUUUUCUGCUUGUUAUUGAAAAAUUUUACUUAGGAAAUUGCAUUUUGUAUUUUAGUGAGUUCAGUUUUCCUAUGUACAAAUGUGACUGCAGAAACAUAUAUUUAUUUAUGUAAGAGAAGACUUGUGAUAUAUAAACUCAUGUAAUUAAUGAAUAAUAUAAUUUAAAUUUACUAGAUCCCUUUCUGUAAAAAGUGAUGCAAGUUUUUAUAUUAAAAAAAUCACUUGAGGUAACUGUUAAAUUACAAAGAGAACGUAUGGCUGGCCAUUUCAUCAUUCACUCAAUUAGUUCCUGUUUUACUGUUUGGAUCAUCAUCUUUUCCUCUCCUUUUCCUGGUUAUUACUUACACUUUUCAUACCACUUGUCAUUUCUCUUGUUUUUAAUCCAUCUCACUGUUCUUCUGUCUUCCUUAAGCCGUCGGCACACGGACCGUGCUGCCGAACGUUGAGCGUUGAGCGUGCCGAGUUUCUGACGUCACAGCAUGGAAUAGCACGCUCGGGAGUCUUUCCGAACGUGCAGAGCAAUAUCUGGCAUGUCAGAUAUUCUCAGCGUGCGUCUGAGCGUUGACCAAUGACAUGGCACAACGCCACCUACGUCACACGCACGCCGUCUCCCUUCAGUACAGAGUUGUGACGCGCCAUAUUGUCAUUCAUUUCAAGCCUAUACGUAUAUAUGCCGUUCCGAGCACCAGCAAAUUGAGAAUCACCGCAAAACUCAUUGUUAACUGUGUGAUUCGUUCCAAUACAUAUUCGCGGCAAAAUAAUUAUUGUAACUUGCGUAUAAUGAGAUUAGGCUAUCUGAAGGCAGUGACACACUGAAGAUCCACCCAAAACCCAUUUUUCUUGGUACAAUGUGUUAUAAUUAAAUUUCAGUUAGUAAAAUAUCUACGAUUAAAGUUUCUGGCAAGAGGUAAGGUACUAUCAUUAGACACAGCAGAUGUGAUGUUGGUAUAGCGUAAUGAAUAGCAUCAUUGUAUACUAAUGAGGUUUUUUUGUUGGGGCGGUGGUUCGCGUCCUGACACGACAAAUUUUUUUUUCCUAACAUUCGCGUUUUUAUUUUCUUUUACGCUUUGUAAUUGACAUGUUGCAAAGAUUCUGCUACUGGGUACGAACAGUGAUCAAGUAAGACUGACCUUGGGAUUUUACUAAAAUGUGGGAAUGAUGAAAUAAUGUUUAUCUUAUGCGGAAAGUAUUCCAAUUUUGUAACGCACUGUUUGUAAUGGAACUUUUAUAAGCCUGUGUCCUUAUUGAUUGGACAUGGUACUUUCCUUUUCGUGGACGAUGGAAGAAAUGUGCAUUUUAAUAGAGCUAACGUGGGAAUUUUACGCGCCCGUUGAGUAAACAGUGCGAUUAACGAACUAGAAACAUCCUUCAACUGUCGCUUGAGUGCGUUGCGAUCGCGUAUACCACGUUGGGGUCCACGUACCGUAUGCACAAGUCGCAUCAUUCCUGAGCGUUGAGCAGCACGUUGAACUGGGCACGCUCAACGUUAACGUUCGACAGCACGGUCCGUGUGCCGACGGCUUUAGGCUUGAAGCUUCCACAGAGCUGAUUGUGUACUAUAUUUGAGCUCUUAGUGUCUCUGAUACCUCCUACUUCAUCCAUAUCUGUCCCAGCCCUAUUACAUGUGAUUCUUCUCUACCUGAUGUCUGAGUGAUCUGCGUCCCUUUUCUAACCUUCCCCACCAUAUUUCUCUUUCCUCCCUGAGGAAGGAACUAACAGAUCUGAAAGCUUUAUAUAUGGGUAUCUAUUGGCAGUACUUAGAAUUUUGCCUCUUGAAAUAAAUACUGCCCAGCCAUUCUGUCUCCUUAUAAUGAUAUAAUUAUUUAAGUGAUAGUAAUUUUUUUACAGAAAAUGACAUACAAGUUUGUGUGUUCACUCACAGUUCUUGUCUGUGGAGAGUUAUGUGUCUUGUAAAAUUUAAUGUUAUAAAGCAGUUUGAAAUGUCAGAAAGUUUUUUUCUUUAUUGAUGCCGCUUUCCUGUACUUGCCUUUUGAGAGUGGUAUUAAUAUUAAUUCCUACAGAAGCUUGAAGUUUUAUUACAUUUGUAUCAUUUUACAAUUACAGUGCUACAUUGUCUGUGUAAUGCGUGUAUCAUGAAAGGAUAAGGAUACAAGGCAGAAGUUGUCUGUCACUAGCCUGUUCAACAAAUAUAUAAAUAAAUAAAAGGGGACAUAAAUGGGGAUAUGAACAUCAGCAAUAAACAUGUGAAUGGGAACAGAAAUAUUCAAU
RNA transcript from Schistocerca nitens (vagrant locust), 4776 nucleotides. It is a transcript of the gene named coiled-coil domain-containing protein 102A, with no coding region annotated. The record is from RefSeq and is a predicted model, not a curated record. Lineage: Eukaryota; Metazoa; Arthropoda; Insecta; Orthoptera; Acrididae. The transcript is spliced from 10 exons.